AUCUACGGCCACAACACCCUGCACGCGUCUGAUCUCAGAAGCUAAGCAGGGUCAACCCUCUCCGCACCUCCACGGGAGAAAGUGAAAUGCUUAGGUA
Molecule: ribosomal RNA, 97 nt
Filed under: Cebus imitator (Panamanian white-faced capuchin)
Lineage: Eukaryota; Metazoa; Chordata; Mammalia; Primates; Cebidae
Source: RNAcentral